GAUGAACGCUAGCUACAGGCUUAACACAUGCAAGUCGAGGGGAAACGGCAUUAAGUGCUGCACUUUUUGGACGUCGACCGGCGCACGGGUGAGUAACGCGUAUCCAACCUUCCCAUGACUAAGGGAUAACCUGCCGAAAGGCAGACUAAUACCUUAUGGUCUUCACUGACGGCAUCAGAUGUGAAGUAAAGAUUUAUCGGUUAUGGAUGGGGAUGCGUCUGAUUAGCUUGUUGGCGGGGUAACGGCCCACCAAGGCAACGAUCAGUAGGGGUUCUGAGAGGAAGGUCCCCCACAUUGGAACUGAGACACGGUCCAGACUCCUACGGGAGGCAGCAGUGAGGAAUAUUGGUCAAUGGUCGGAAGACUGAACCAGCCAUGCCGCGUGCAGGAAGAAUGCCUUAUGGGUUGUAAACUGCUUUUAUAUGGGAAGAAUAAGGCGUACGUGUACGUUGAUGACGGUACCAUAUGAAUAAGCAUCGGCUAAUUCCGUGCCAGCAGCCGCGGUAAUACGGAGGAUGCGAGCGUUAUUCGGAAUCAUUGGGUUUAAAGGGUCUGUAGGCGGGCUAUUAAGUCAGGGGUGAAAGGUUUCAGCUUAACUGAGAAAUUGCCUUUGAUACUGGUAGUCUUGAAUAUCUGUGAAGUUCUUGGAAUGUGUAGUGUAGCGGUGAAAUGCUUAGAUAUUACACAGAACACCGAUUGCGAAGGCAGGGGACUAACAGACAAUUGACGCUGAGAGACGAAAGCGUGGGGAGCGAACAGG
This 760-nucleotide ribosomal RNA is filed under the name uncultured Streptococcus sp. Its description in RNAcentral is "bacterial SSU rRNA". It matches the Rfam family "Bacterial small subunit ribosomal RNA", at positions 28 to 776 of the family's 1533-position model. Lineage: Bacteria; Bacillati; Bacillota; Bacilli; Lactobacillales; Streptococcaceae. The record is from RNAcentral.